AUGGCGGCGCCCAACCGGAGAGGUGGCAGCGGCCGGAAGAAGAUCGUCAUCCGCCGGAUCGAGCAGGAGGAUGCCCGGUUCGUCUGCUACUCCAAGCGCCGCCAGGGGUUCUUCAACAAGGCCACGGAUCUGGCGGUCCUGACCGGCGCCCAGGUGGCCGCCCUCGCCUUCUCUCCCCACGGCAGGGCCUUCUCCUUCGGCCACCCCUCCGUCGACUCCGUCGUAGAACGCUUCCUGGCGGGGGAGGCUGCGGGGGCUGGCGCGAAGGAGGAGGGCGCUGCCGACCACCGCUUGCUGGCGGGGGAGGGCGCUGCCGGCGAAGACAAGAAGCUCGAGAAGCUGCACCAGGAGCUCGACGAGCUGCGCACGGAGCUGACCGAGUUGAAGAAGCGGACCAAGCGCACGGACAAGGCCAUGGCGAAAGAGCGCUCUGCGGGGGACCAGAUAGCGGCUUGGUUCGACCACAAGGCGCGCGACAUGGGAGACGAGGACAUGGCGGCCUUCUUCGCCGCGCUGAUGCAGAUGAAGGACGCCGUCUCCGAUCGCGCCAACCAGGUUCUCCUCGAGGCGAUGCACGCCCACAUGAGCCGCAUGGCGGAGGUGGCCCCGCCGCCGCUGCCGCCUCAGAUCUUCGGUGGCAGCACCUUCGAGUUCGGUAGCAGCAGCGGCACCGCCAACGACGGGAUGGAGUUCCAGUUUCGGGUGCCUCCGCCACAGGAGCAGGGGUUCGAGGCCGGGAUGGAUAUGCAGCAGAUGGUGAUGCCGGCGCCCCCUCCGUCUCACGUGGUCGCCGCCGGGAUGGAUGUGCAGGAGAUGCCUCCGCCGCCGGGAUGGAUCUGGAGCAGAUGCAGAUGA
Molecule: ribosomal RNA, 855 nt
Filed under: Triticum aestivum (bread wheat)
Lineage: Eukaryota; Viridiplantae; Streptophyta; Magnoliopsida; Poales; Poaceae
Description: partial small subunit ribosomal RNA
Source: RNAcentral